RNAcentral lists this long non-coding RNA (599 nucleotides) under Camarhynchus parvulus. Its description in RNAcentral is "lncRNA (ENSCPVG00000010299.2)". Lineage: Eukaryota; Metazoa; Chordata; Aves; Passeriformes; Thraupidae. The record is from RNAcentral.
CGGAGCCGCAUGGCCCUGCCGCCGGCCGCCCCGCGCUAGCGGCACCCGCACCCGGGAGGCGCCGGCCCGGCGGCGGGGCUGCCCGCGCCUCGGCUACGUCCGUCUGUCCAUCCGUCCGUCCGUCCAGCGCAGCGCCCGGCGCGCAGGAUCCCGCAGCGGGGUGCGGAGCGGCAGCGCUUGGCGAGGAUUAACCUGGCGCAGAAGCCGGGGCCUCUCUGCAGGACACCAGCCCCUGUGCCCUCCCUGACCACGCUGCCACAGAUGCUGCUCCUCGGCAGAAAUCGCUCCGGUUCAGCCUCUCCCAGGACUGACCUCUGGCUCACCCUCCGGAACCUUUACUUGAAGCUGCAGCCUGGGCCCUCCAGGUCGGCUGCCUCGAGGAACUGUCUUCCCCCUCACAGGUUUCCCAUCUGCCACUUGAAGUCUGAAAUUCCUGUUUUUUCUGGUGUCUGAGUUUUUUAUAACUAAAAAUGACGGCGAAGAAUCUGGUGGCAGCAGCUGCGGUCCCAGUCAUGUCCCAUGUCACCAGUGGUGAGGUCACGAGCUGUAAACAUGGUAGCUUCAAUCACCUGAACAAAUAAAUGUUUUACUACAACGGC